AUCGCUUUCACGAUAGGAUAGCAUCAACAAAUAUUACAUUUUUAUAUACAUACCAGAGGUAUGAUUUAUUAAAAAAUUUAACAAUGCAAGUUAAACCAUUAUUAAGAGUUUAAAAUAAAUCAGUCCGGGACAGGUAAUUAAACAUCUAAGUUUAUUCUAAGGUAUUGGGACUCAUAGGAUACCUAGUUAUUCGGAGCUUCCUUCUCGGUGGGUCUGCUGGUUUUUUAAAAACAGCAACAGAAGGAUCCCCGAGUACGAAAGGUGGUGGCUUUGCUUAUCUAGGGGCUCGACGGGGCGUUCAGGCAUUUCGUCGAACACGUUGUGGGCGAGGUGGAGGCUGGCUGUGUUCCAGAAGCUGAGAUGCAGCAGCUUUGGGACUGCAGCUUGGCGUAGAUCAGGCAGCGGCAACUGUAGCUGCUGCGGACGUCGGCGGCACUGCCGCUGCUUCGGCUCGAGCUCCAUGUGGCACAGUCCUCCGGCUCCCUCCUACAGUCGUCGUUGGCGAGGAAGCUGACGCUGUGCUGCUGCGCGGCCCUUCGGCGAACAGCCCGGGCACCACGGCCAUGCCCAGACCAAAACGCCACAGCGUGUCCAGGCGGCGGUGUUCCAGCCUAGCUGCUGGUUCGGCUUGCGCCUGGGCAAGAGAAGGGAAGGGGAGCAGAGCUGCUGCUGUUGGAAUUGGCUUGGAUUGGAAAACAGAGGAGGGAGAUAGCGAUGGGAGAGGUGCUCCUGCUUGUGGUGCUUGACGGCUAAUCGGAGAAGAGCUGAACGUGCUUAUUGAUUUGGGAAAGAAAAGAACCAAGCUGUUUGCUUGCUUGAUCGGUGGAGCAGAAGAUAGCGAGAAAGAGAGAAGGGAGCAGGCUGCUGGUUCUUGCGGUGGAGAAAAAGACGGGGGGAAGAGAUCGAGCUGAGAGGGCAGGGACGCAAGAUGCAGGAGAAAGAACAAGAGGGGCUCUGGCUUGCGGUGGAAGGAGAGGGCAGAAGAGAGCAGGGUGCGGCGGCGGCUUGGGAGGAGAGAAGAGGGAGGGUAAGUGGUGAGAGGGUGGGAGGGUGAGUGGUGAGCUGAGAGGGUUAUGUUUAGUUAGUGGGUUUUUAGAUAGGCUUUAUGGUCUGGGCCAAAACUAUUAUAUCCAGCGGAAUAAAUUGUUAACAUAAACUUAGGACAAAUGAAUUAGACUAAUUUUUCGAAAAUGAAUUAAAUAGCAGUGACUUAGUUCGAUGAGCCGGAACGCCAGGAUUCAAAUUGAGCUCUUGGGAAAUUAAUACAAAUGAAUUAGCCUAUUUUCCGAUAUCAAAUUAAUUAGCUAGGAAUUAAU
Molecule: long non-coding RNA, 1316 nt
Filed under: Setaria viridis
Lineage: Eukaryota; Viridiplantae; Streptophyta; Magnoliopsida; Poales; Poaceae
Description: long non-coding RNA (SVIR_LNC004314)
Source: RNAcentral